This 409-nucleotide ribosomal RNA is filed under the name uncultured bacterium. Its description in RNAcentral is "bacterial SSU rRNA". It matches the Rfam family "Bacterial small subunit ribosomal RNA", at positions 355 to 776 of the family's 1533-position model. The record is from RNAcentral.
UGAGGAAUUUUCUGCAAUGGGCGAAAGCCUGACAGAGCAAUACCGCGUGAGGGAAGAAGGCUUACUGAGUUGUAAACCUCUGUUACCUAAGGAGGAAGAUCUGACGUUACUUAGGAGACGAAGCAUCGGCUAACUCCGUGCCAGCAGCCGCGGUAAGACGGAGGAUGCAAGUGUUAUCCGGAAUUACUGGGCGUAAAGCGUCUGCAGGUGGUUUCUUAAGUCCACUGUUAAACCUUGAGGCUCAACCUCAAUUCAGCAAUGGAAACUGGGAAACUUGAGUAUAGUAGGGGUAGAGGGAAUUUCCAGUGGAGCGGUGAAAUGCGUAGAUAUUGGAAAGAACACCGAUGGCGAAGGCACUCUACUGGGCUAUUACUGACACUCAGAGACGAAAGCUAGGGGAGCAAAUGGG